Molecule: long non-coding RNA, 1466 nt
Filed under: Manihot esculenta (cassava)
Lineage: Eukaryota; Viridiplantae; Streptophyta; Magnoliopsida; Malpighiales; Euphorbiaceae
Description: long non-coding RNA (MESC_LNC003387)
Source: RNAcentral
UAGGGCUGAGCAAUAUUUGGUUUUAAACCGUAAUAACUGACUAAACCGAUUUCAUUCGGUAAUUCGGUUCAGUUUAUUUAGUAAAACGGUUCGAUUUUAUUUUUUGAAAUUUUCGGAUUAAAAUCGGUUCAGUUCAGUUUUGAAAAUUAAACUUUCCGUAAAACCAAAUAGUAUAACUAUAUUUGAAGCUGAGUAAAACAUAACUUCCCCUCGUGUCUUAUUGGUAAAUUGAUUUAAAAUUGAAGGAGGUCAAGGCUUCGAAUCUCCAGAUCCACAUUUUGUAACCUUAGCCUCUUUUUUUUCUCAACUCUAAAUCUUAACCAUCCAUUUUUAUUAAAUUUGAGCCGGCAAUUCCAUGUAUAUAACCUUAGCCCUUUUUUUUUCUCUCAACUCCUAAAUCUUAACCAUCCAUUUUUAUUAAAUUUGAGCUGGCAAUUUCAUGUAUAUAUACAUUAUUUUAAGAUGAGAAACCUUAGAUAGAUUCUCCUUAUUUUGUCUGCCGCUUCCUCCUCCUCCAAUUUCAUCCUCUCUCUUCCCAAUAUUAGCAACCUGUUCUCCAUUGUUGAAAUCAAAUACAAGGAUUCAGCAUGCAACACCAUAGGCCUCCUAGCAUCACAGUAGCACAACUCAACCUUUUUUUUUCUCUCAACUCUAAAUCAUAACUAUCACUUUUAUUAAAUUUGAGCCAGCAAUUUCAUGUAUAUAUGCAUUAGCUAUAUUCUCUUUAUUUUCUCUGCUGCUUCCUCCUCCUCCUCCAAUUUCAUCCUCUUUCUCUUCCCAAUAUUAGCAACCUGUUCUCCGUUGUUGAAAUCAAAUACAAGGAUUCAGCAUGCAACGCCAUAGGUCUCCUAGCAUCAUAGUAGCACAACUCCAGGAGGCUUCUUGCGUCGCUGAUGUCACAGCUACAGGCAGCUUCUUGCAUUGCCGAUGUCGCAGCUCCAAGCAACCUCCAACAUGGCAGCAUCAUAACUCUAGGCAGCCUACAGCAUUGCCAACUCCACAUUGCAGCUUCAGCAUCGGAGCAUCACAGCUUCAAUUUGUAGAUACUUGUGUGGGUGCAUGUUUUUUUGUUAAAGAGUUCCUUGUGCAGUGAUAUUUGUAUUUCUUAUAUUGUGUUACUUUUUAUCCUAGAUGGGUUUAUAAAUAUUCUGUUGAUUUGUAUUUCCUUAUGUAAAUUUCAUUUAUCUCCCUUUGGAUUGGUAUUUGGUGUGAAAAUGCAAGAAAAAUAAGGGAAAAAAAAUAAGUCCAUCUUGUUUGGCUAGAGAGAAACCAAAAGAAAACCAGUGAAGUUUCUGAAAAAACGAUGGGUAAUUUCAGAACUGAAAAAGUGAAUCGAUUUCGAAUUGAAAAAUCGAUUCGGUUCAGUUCUGUUAAUUAUUUAAGUUCAAUUCGGUUUUUAUAUUUAUUGAAAAUCAAUUUUUGAUUUUUUUGAUUCAGUUUAAUUUUGAACCAAAUUGAGCGAUUGC